AGUGGUGCAGUUGUUAAAGCGCUUGGCUGCUAACCAAAAGGUUGGUGGUUCGAACCCACCAGCCACUC
Molecule: transfer RNA, 68 nt
Filed under: Loxodonta africana (African savanna elephant)
Lineage: Eukaryota; Metazoa; Chordata; Mammalia; Proboscidea; Elephantidae
Rfam family: tRNA
About the family: Transfer RNA (tRNA) molecules are approximately 80 nucleotides in length.
Source: Rfam by way of RNAcentral